Molecule: ribosomal RNA, 305 nt
Filed under: uncultured bacterium
Lineage: Bacteria
Description: bacterial SSU rRNA
Rfam family: Bacterial small subunit ribosomal RNA
Source: RNAcentral
CCUACGGGGGGCAGCAGUCGAGAAUCAUUCACAAUGGGGGAAACCCUGAUGCAGCAACGCCGCGUGAGUGAAGAAGUAUUUCGGUAUGUAAAGCUCUAUCAGCAGGGAAGAGAAUGACGGUACCUGACUAAGAAGCCCCGGCUAACUACGUGCCAGCAGCCGCGGUAAUACGUAGGGGGCAAGCGUUAUCCGGAUUUACUGGGUGUAAAGGGAGCGUAGACGGCUGUACAAGUCUGAAGUGAAAGCCCGUGGCUCAACCGCGGAACUGCUUUGGAAACUGUAAAGCUGGAGUACUGGAGAGGCAG